AGUCGUAACAAGGUAUCCGUAGGUGAACCUGCGGAUGGAUCAUUAUAGGGUGUUGGGUAAUUGUGAGUGGUUUUAUUAUUAGUAGUUUGAGCGGUGUUGGUUGGGAUGCGAAGCAGGAUUGCCAAGCAAGACAGCCAACAUUGCCAGCCAACAUUGCCUCACGUUAAACUCUAUAAAUCUAACAAUUACAUACAAAAAAAAACAACUUUUAGCAACGGAUCUCUUGGCUCUC
This 232-nucleotide unclassified non-coding RNA is filed under the name fungal sp. RNAcentral's name for it is "partial internal transcribed spacer region". The stretch from base 1 to 45 matches the Rfam family "Eukaryotic small subunit ribosomal RNA", at positions 1787 to 1831 of the family's 1831-position model. Lineage: Eukaryota; Fungi. The record is from RNAcentral.